UCUAUUUAUAUCACGAUUAUACGAUCAAUACACACGAACCAUGUACAAAAACAAAACACGUAUGUGUGUAAAUUGUACGAUAAGUGGAAUGUUCUGAAAUGUAUGUAUUUUUUUGUUUUAUUGCUUGCUUUAUUUAUAAUUUAUAAAAUAGACAAUACUAAACAAUCGUUUUAUUUUUUUUUUUAUUAUCUUUCGUCGUUAUUCGUUAUUCAUAUAACUACAAUAAUAUAUAUAGUAAAUUGAUUGCUGGACAUAUACUUUUUUGGAUAAAAUGUUUAAAUAAUUUUCAAAUGACCAGUUAUGUUAUGUACACAGGUAGAGUCAUGUAAUUCAACAACUACACACUGAAGUAUAAAUUCAAAUGCAUUGAUCGUCCAAAAAAGGGGGUGGAACCCCCAGGAUCCGCCCCUGGACCUUUGUUUCACAUUAUGUUCAAUCUAAUUGAAUUUAUUUUAAUUAGAUUGACAUUAUGUUCGUACGAGGCUUGACAUCUCUUUAUUUAUAGAAAUAAUGUUUCUUCAUAAACAUUAUAUACAGAGACAUAGUAUUAUUUAUAACCUUGAUAAUAUUUUAGAUUAAGUAUAGAUUUGAUCAACGGGGUGUUUUAAUCUGCCACCAAAGUUGUGAUUACAACAAGGAGGUCUUUAAUCUGCCACCCAAGUUCUGAUUACAACAAGGAGGCUUUAAUCUGCCACCAAGUUCUGAUUACAACAAGGAGGUCUUUAAUCUGCCACUCAAGUUCCAUUACAACAGGAGUCUUCAAUCUUCCUCCAAGUUCUGAUUACAACAAGAAGUCUUAAUCUGUCCCAGGAUUGUACAACAAGGAGGUCUAUAUCUGACCUUAAUUCUGAUUACAUCAAGGAGAUCUUAUCUGCCACUUAAGUUCUGAUUACAACAAGGAGGUCUUUAAUCUGCCACCAAAGUUCUGAAUACAACUAGGAUUGUUUUUAAUCUGCUCCCAAGUUCUGAUUACAACUAGGAGGUCUUUAAUCUGCCCCCAAGUUCUGAUUACAGCGAGGAGUGUUUUUAAUCUGCCACCCAAGUUCUGAUUACAACAAGGAGGUCUUUAAUCUACAACCAAGUUCUGAUUAUAACUAGGAGGUCUUUAAUCUGCUCCCAAGUUCUGAUUUCAACUAGGAUUCAGUGAUAUUGUUGCCUAAAUUACUGGAGAAAGGCCUUUCCCUGGGAAGAGUCCAAUUUGAAUAAAAAGCUUAAAAUUAUUCAAAGAAACUUUUUCCCGACAGGCAGUCACAGAUAAUUGUGCGUAUACAACUGAAAAACACCCAUUUAAACAUUUUUCAUCUAAAAUGACUAUAAGUGCAGAUGUAGGGUCUAUUUAUUAUCAUCACUAAAUGAGGGGUCUAUUUCAUUGAGGGUUUUCCUCUUGAAGGGGUGGCAAUCGAAAUCCAGCCAAAUUCAUGUAAUAAUAAUUUCCCAAUUUGAUAAAAAUGACGCAUAUUUCCAAUAAAAAAGGGUAGAGGUGUUUUGAAAAGCCAACAAUGUCACUGACAAAGUACUAAUUACAGAUCUGUUGUCGGAUUGAUAUUUCAUCAAACAGUCGGUAAUUCAUUAGGUACUUCUGGUGUAAUGGUCUCCAUCAUAUGACAGUUCUUGUCCGUUCGUUUUUGAUGUGUUUUGUUAUUUGAUUUUGCCAUGUUAUCAUGGUUAUUAUGGACUUUUCGAAUUGAUUUUCCUCAAGUUCAUUAUUUUUGUGAUUUUACUUUUUGUUUACACAGUCGGUAAUCCAUUAGGUGUUUCUGGUGUAAUGGUCUUCAUGAGUUGUUUACAUAGUCGUAUGAAGCAGAAUUUUUACUCAAUCUUCUAAAAAAAAAAGUUUAAAAAGUUCCUUCUCAAGAUCUCUUAUUAUAUAUUUAGAUAUAUUGUUGGUGUCCUGUUGUUCAAUAGUAUUCAUUUACAAGUGUGGGUGCAUCUCAUAUUUUCCGGUGAAUCUGGGUGCAUCUUAUAUAUCAUGUAUAUCCCAGUGAAACUGAAAUUAAGGAUACUGCCAAAUAACAGGUCUGCCUUCUAUCUUUAAAAAUCUUUUUCGAAAUUAACACAGACGGAUGACUUUCUAAAUGAAAACAGCGUUUUAUAAGUUUGGUGAGUCCGAAGCACUUUUAUCAACUUACUGAUUUAUCUUCACCAAGCUGAAAAUAUUGAAAGCUGAGGAUAUUUUAAACACUUGAGGAGUUAUAUAUGUCAAAAGGACGGACAAAAUCUUCUAACUAACGAUCAAUGAAACCGGGAAGUUGGAUGCUAGCUUUUUAUUAGUUUUCUUUAUAGUAUUCGUCCACUAUAAAACUUUAUUUUUCUAACACAAAAGCUAUUCAUAGGAAGAGAGAAGAACUAAAAUCGACACUAUCUACAAGUGGUAUGGUAAUCCUCACGAUUCGAUGUGUAUGUUUUUCAGAUCGCGAUAGCCAUGUUUUCAUUGUUUUAGAUCUUAAGUUACAAGAAUAUUCGUAUAUUCGAAUUUUACCGAUAGUUUACGUAAUAGUUAUCCCAUUCGGACUUGGUGUGUAAUAAUAAUAAUAAUAAUAAUAAUUAAAACCCAAUUCUUCAGAGAACAAUUGAAGGUCUUUCCACCUCGAUAAUAAGAAUGAAAUUUAGAAAACGAUGUUAGAAAAUGUCACUCCUUGUUGAUGUUAUGUGCUAAAUCAAACUGAUAUAUAUAAAAAAUAAGAUUAAUAUGAUUGUGCAGAAGACUUAAUAAUGAACCUGAAAGAUUUUUUAGCAAAGGUCAAAAUCUAGAACGUCAAUUUGUCCUUGGACCUUGACCUCAAUGUUGAGGUCAUAGGUCAGUGAUCUCAAAUCAAAAGACCCCAGGUCAAUCAAUUGUAUGGUUGUGAAGAAAUACUGAUUUCAAAUACAUAAGGGGACAAAACUCCUACAAGGGUUGACCAAAACACUUUUACUCAAAUGGGUUGAAGUUGCGCCUUAUUGUAAACAAUUUUUUGGAAAACACAUCACAUCAUUGUUUGUUACAGUUUCUUUUGAAUAUAGAUUACAAGCAACAUUCUAAAUUUAGAAUAUGACCUUGACCGUCAACCUUCAACCUUGACUUCAAUUUCAAGGUUAUAUGUCCGCGAACUCAAAUCGAAAGACCCGAGGUCAAUCACAAUCAUACAAUUGUUAAUCUCACAAAAGGCCUUCACACAUUUAAAUGAAUAAUUCAUAUAACUAUUAAUGCAUAUAGAACAAUAUUCAAUAGAUAUAUACCCUUACAGAACUGAAAUGUUUGGCAGCGAUCUGCUGCAACUUGCUGCAGGUCUGCUGCACAAAAUUGCUUGCAGGAACCUUGAUAAUGUUUGCAAUUGUUCGCAGCUAGCUGAAACUCCUGCAAACAUUGCAGCUUUUUGCUGCAAGCUUGCGGCAAGUUUGCAGAAACAAAAAUGUUUGCAGUUAGAAGUGCAGGAAAAACGAGAUAUAAUGGGAUGUUCGCAGCUAGAUUGCAGGAUCUAUUGACCAUGUUAUAGUGGGUUGUAGAACAUUGCAAGAAACUAAUUAACACGAACUGAGCAUGACCUUAUUGGUACUUCCUGGAAGAUAGAUUGAAAUUUGAAAAUGGUUGGUUGAUGUUUGUGUCAUGAUAUAUAUUAGUGUUCAGGGAGGCAUUAUAGUUUGAGCAAUAACAGAUUGUUUUAAAAGACAUUGGUUGUAUAGUACAGUUUCAUCGGAAGUAGACAAUUAACUUAUGGAAUUUCAUUCCCCUCCACAGGUAUACCUGCAUAGGGUUUAAAAUACAUUUUAAAAUAUGUAACCUGCAAUAUCUUCCUCGUAUGCUACAGAUAUAUGCUUACAAAUAUAUGUAAGUCUAGCUGAAAUUGUGUGAAUUUUAGUUUACUAUUAGCUGUAAAUAAAUAUAAUUACUAUACAUGCGCAAAGGAAAAUUCAAACUAAUCUGUUUAAACUUUAGAUUCAUGCAUGUAAUUCAUUUUGAGAAUGUACUUGGAAUUCAUGUUAACUUAUUAACAUUUAAAAAGGUGAUAAACUUAUGCUAUUGAUAAUUUUUCGAAUUGAUAAAGUAAUUGAAUUUUUUAUUGAAUGGAUGGAUGUAACAUAACCUUUAAGAAUUUGCUGUGUAAUCUAGAUAAAAUGAUUGUGUACACAACAUUUGACAUGGUUAAUUGUUUAACAGAUUGGAUGUGUGAAUAACAUGUUUGCAGCAGGUUCUGCAGCAAACACGCAGGGGAAAGAUUAAUUUGCAUAAAUAUGUUUGCACAGGUAUGCGGAACACUCCAUUUGCUAUAAAUGGUUUGCUAGCAGCGUUGCCAGCAAACAGGCGAGCGAGAGAAAGAAUUUAAUUUGCAUAAAAUAUGUUGCAGCAGGUCUGCAGAAAACACUUCAUGCAUUAUAAUGAUUGCAAGCAGGUCUGAGGCAAACACUCAUUUGCACUGGUAAAUUGUUUGCUCAGCAGACCUGCAGCGUAUUUGCAGAACACUGUUUUUCGCUGCAUCGCAAGUUCGCAAGCCAGACGUGCAGCAAAUGUUGCAGGGGACUGAUUUUUUCAGUAAGGAUAUGUACACAAUUACAAAUAUAUAUACACAAGCAUGAAAACAGACUGUAGAACUAGCAUGGCGAGAAUGUCCUAAAAAAAACUUUGUCUACUCAUGAUAAGUGUCGGUCAAAGAUCACCCCAAUGGCCGGAGGCACACCAAGUCCGAAUUGGAUAACUAUUUUACAUCCCAGCUGUUUUAGAUUAGACGAAAACCCAUUUACAAUUCAUAAAAUCUAGUUUAGAACGCCACACAACCAUUAUAAAAUACUUUAUAUAUUACUUUAUGACCCCCGAACACGAUGAGUAGAAUGUAAACGAUGUCACUCGCCCCACCGGCCAUCGGACCCCCACACUAAGUCGCAAUUUAGAGCUACCAUAUGAUUUUUAUGGAGGGGGGGGGUGGGGGGGGGGGGCGUAGGAUGAAAAGUUGUCCUGUAUUUUUUAUUAAGCUGUAAUCUCGUCCUUUGCCUUUUAAUAUUCACUCUGUAGGUCCGACUCCUUUUUUUUUUAGUUAUAUCCUGACUUUUUUUUACCUAAAUUGUAGUCCUACUUUUUUUUGGGCAAUUUUUAUCCGGCUUUUCGUUACUCAAAACUUCCUGUACCUGCCUAUUUUUUCAAUUUUCCGAGCCCCCCCCCAUAAAAUCAACAUGGAACUCACCUUAUACCUAAAUCGCCCACUCUCUGUUUACCGACUCGCUCCACUUUGAAAGAGGCUAAAAUCAAAUUGAACAAUCAACCUGGCAACUCACUUAUUAACAAAAUGGGUUUUAAAGCCCACUGAAUAAAGGUCUGCCAACUCGCCCCACUUAAAAAAAUAUCUUGCUUCUUUCAAGUAUGUUGAAUUACCGAAAGUUGGUAUACAGUCGUCCUGAUGUAGUGGUAUGUGUCGUGGGUUGAUAUGCUAAAGGUCUUGAGUUCGAAUCCCAGCAUUUACACUGGAUUUAUCUACGCAGAUUUUGAUAGAUAGUCUUUUCCGUAUGAUUAAUUAUAAGUUUUAUAGUGGAUUUGACAUUCCCGCCAAAAUGUUACAUGACAAAGGAAGACAAUAACAAUCAAAACCAAGGAGUCAACAAAGACUCACAAAACCAAAGUACAUUUACAUCAACAUUAUAAAUAAUAUCAAGAACAACACGAACUCCACUAAACCGGGUGUGAAUCAGUGCUCCGGAAAGGGUAAGCAUUCCGUAUACGGCACCCUGUGUUAUUUCUUUGGUCAGCUUCGGUAAUGAUGAAAGGUUUUGACUGAGGAAGUAAUAUCAGAUAUGAUUUCUGACACACUUUUGUCAUAAUGGCCAAUUUACAGCUCAUGAUGGCAUCCUUAAAAUUGGUCGUGUUAGUGAGACCAUUAAUUUGACUUGAUUCAUAGCCCUGUCUAUAGCAACUUGUUGAGAAAGCAGUAUUCCUCGUUCAACAAAUCAACUACGUUGAGCUACUCUAAGAGUAACGUAUCAAUUGAGACACCAUAUACUCCGCUGGGAUGUUGCUACAAAACAAAACACAACAUAGAAAAGCCUGAUUAACACUUACCCCUCUAAAAACUGGGGAUGAUCUCAGCGGAUCUGGAAGGUAAUGCAGAUCCUGUCAUCAUGUGGCACCCGUCGUGUCGAUUAUGUAAGAAUAAACUCAACGCUAAGUUUAAUUCAGUAUGUCAAACUCAGGGAGAAAGGGACGGCGGUGUGGUUACAACAAUUAAAAUAUAUCCGUUGUCAUAUUGGUCAGUUGAUGGGUUUCUCUCGGUUUUAGUUUGUAAACUUUUCAAUGUAUAUUGUAAAAUAAAAUUUUUAAUACAUGUAUGUGGAAACCUUACCGCAAGGUACGGUAAUAUAUCUCCAAUUGGAGAAUUGAAAGUAGAUAUCUACAUGAAAAUUUAUCAAUCAAGCAGUGUACGGACAUUAUUGUUAAACUAUUAAAGGAUGGAAAUUUUAGUUUUAGAUAUCAUCGGAAACGUUAAAAGAUGAUAAAUAAAAUAAGUCGGGUGUAUAUGAUCAGGUAUCAUAGUAUGUUUUCAGUGGGUCACGAUUUUAAAAACAAAAAUUUUUACUCCCCAGAUUAAAACAAUUGUUGAUUUUUAAUUUCUGAUAGCUACUUCAAUUGAAAAGGCCAAACACCAAGAAAAAAUCUUGUUGGUAAAGAAUAAAACCACCUUGAUCGUCUCGCUGUAGUGUGUUCGCUUCCAGUUUAUGAAGUCAGUUGUUGACUACACUGUCGGGUCAAACAAAACAAAAAUAUUCUUAUAGUACUGAUACUGCAAACUUAAAAUCCUAUUUUACUACAUGUUUUUAUAAAUUUUCAGGUCAGAUGUAGUUCAAAUAUUGGUUGUAGGCGAUGGCGGUGUUGGAAAAACCUCACUUCUCAUUACAUAUGCUACCGACUCCUUUCCUCACCAGUAUAUUCCCACUGUAACAGAUUUUGGAUCGAUCAUUAAAACCGUAGAAGGACAUAAUAUUAACCUAACAUUAAUGGACACAGGCGGCGGUG
Molecule: long non-coding RNA, 6976 nt
Filed under: Mytilus galloprovincialis (Mediterranean mussel)
Lineage: Eukaryota; Metazoa; Mollusca; Bivalvia; Mytilida; Mytilidae
Source: RNAcentral